GCGCGAAAACUUUACAAUGCUGGAAACCGUGAUAAGGGAAUCUCGAGUGCCAGCAUAUAAUGUUGGCUGUCCAGAUGCCUAAAAAGCAUCUGUUAGCAAGGGCCGGGCAAGACCGGUGCCAGCCGCCGCGGUAACACCGGCGGCCCGAGUGGUAUCCGCUUUUAUUGGGUCUAAAGGGUCUGUAGCCGGCCAAGUAAGUCCCUUGGGAAAUCUGGCAGCUUAACUGUCAGGCUGCUAGGGGAUACUGCUAGGCUUGGGACCGGGAGAGGUGAGAGGUACCUUGGGGGUAGGGGUGAAAUCUUGUGAUCCUCGGGGGACCACCAGUGGCGAAGGCGUCUCACCAGAACGGGUCCGACGGUAAGGGACGAAAGCUAGGGGCACGAACCG
RNAcentral lists this ribosomal RNA (387 nucleotides) under uncultured bacterium. RNAcentral's name for it is "bacterial SSU rRNA". It matches the Rfam family "Archaeal small subunit ribosomal RNA", at positions 339 to 726 of the family's 1478-position model. The record is from RNAcentral.